AGUGAACGCUGGCGGUAGGCCUAACACAUGCAAGUCGAACGGCAGCACAGUAAGAGCUUGCUCUUACGGGUGGCGAGUGGCGGACGGGUGAGGAAUACAUCGGAAUCUACUUUUUCGUGGGGGAUAACGUAGGGAAACUUACGCUAAUACCGCAUACGACAUACGGGUGAAAGCAGGGGAUCUUCGGACCUUGCGCGAUUGAAUGAGCCGAUGUCGGAUUAGCUAGUUGGCGGGGUAAAGGCCCACCAAGGCGACGAUCCGUAGCUGGUCUGAGAGGAUGAUCAGCCACACUGGAACUGAGACACGGUCCAGACUCCUACGGGAGGCAGCAGUGGGGAAUAUUGGACAAUGGGCGCAAGCCUGAUCCAGCCAUCCCGCGUGGGUGAAGAAGGCCUUCGGGUUGUAAAGCCCUUUUGUUGGGAAAGAAAAGCAGCAGGUUAAUACCCCGCUGUUCUGACGGUACCCAAAGAAUAAGCACCGGCUAACUUCGUG
Molecule: ribosomal RNA, 492 nt
Filed under: uncultured bacterium
Lineage: Bacteria
Description: partial 16S ribosomal RNA
Rfam family: Bacterial small subunit ribosomal RNA
Source: RNAcentral